UAAAUAAUCUCUGAAUUUCUAGUGCAG
RNAcentral lists this non-coding RNA (27 nucleotides) under Rattus norvegicus (Norway rat). The record is from RNAcentral. Lineage: Eukaryota; Metazoa; Chordata; Mammalia; Rodentia; Muridae.